UACGUAGGGCGCAAGCGUUGUCCGGAAUUAUUGGGCGUAAAGAGCUCGUAGGCGGCCUGUUGCGUCCGCUGUGAAAUCCCGGGGCUCAACCCCGGGCCUGCAGUGGAUACGGGCUGGCGUAGAGGCAGGCAGGGGAGAACGGAAUUCCUGGUGUAGCGGUGAAAUGCGCAGAUAUCAGGAGGAACACCGGUGGCGAAGGCGGUUCUCUGGGCCUGUACUGACGCUGAGGAGCGAAAGCGUGGGGAGCAAACAGG
RNAcentral lists this ribosomal RNA (254 nucleotides) under uncultured bacterium. RNAcentral describes it as "partial 16S ribosomal RNA". It matches the Rfam family "Bacterial small subunit ribosomal RNA", at positions 524 to 776 of the family's 1533-position model. The record is from RNAcentral.